Molecule: ribosomal RNA, 509 nt
Filed under: uncultured bacterium
Lineage: Bacteria
Description: partial 16S ribosomal RNA
Rfam family: Bacterial small subunit ribosomal RNA
Source: RNAcentral
UGGGGAAUUUUGGACAAUGGGCGAAAGCCUGAUCCAGCAAUGCCGCGUGUGUGAAGAAGGCCUUCGGGUUGUAAAGCACUUUUGUCCGAAGAAAGUACUCCUCUGGGUUAAUACCUCGGGGGGAUGACGGUACCGGAAGAAUAAGCACCGGCUAACUACGUGCCAGCAGCCGCGGUAAUACGUAGGGUGCAAGCGUUAAUCGGAAUUACUGGGCGUAAAGCGUGCGCAGGCGGUUUUGUAAGACGGAUGUGAAAUCCCCGGGCUUAACCUGGGAACUGCAUUCGUGACUGCAAGGCUAGAGUAUGGCAGAGGGGGGUAGAAUUCCACGUGCAGCAGUGAAAUGCGUAGAGAUGUGGAGGAAUACCGGUGGCGAAGGCAGCCCCCUGGGCCAAUACUGACGCUCAUGCACGAAAGCGUGGGGAGCAAACAGGAUUAGAUACCCUGGUAGUCCACGCCCUAAACGAUGUCAACUAGUUGUUGGGGAUUCAUUUCCUUAGUAACGUAGCUAA